CACCCCCAUCCCCUGACAUGAGAAACACUGGUCCACGGCUGAGACCAUACCCCCUCCUUCCAGGCCCCGCCUCCUAAAGUCCGACACUCUCACCUGUUUAGUGAGAUCAGCAGGCAGCGCAGUACAGAGCCGUGCAGGCAGUGCAGUGGCCGACCCUCCCCUUUCCUCCAGAGUCCGGACACUCUCUCCUCACUCGGGUCCUGAGCCUGACACACACAAGCUCCGCCUCCCACACUAUACUACAGGAGGAAGGAGCUGCUGGUGAUGUGCUGCAUGAUGCCAGCCAGGACAAACCUGAAAUCUGGAGGUUCCCGGCUAAUAGGGAAGAAGUAAAGAUUAAUCUAUGAACUUUAAAAAAUCAUGAAGAUAUUAAUCCCAUUGAAACUAGUGAUUUUAACCAUAUGAGAAGUACAUUGAAAGAGUGAAUUACAUUAACACAGUGGAUUUCGAGGGACCGAAAGUAAAUGUCACUUCCGGCGUGGUGCGUUCCAAGUGUAUUCCAGUUCCUGGAGAUGCGUUCCACAGCCGUACAUAUAUGAUCUACCAAGUCUAUGAAGCAGAAUGAAGGCUCCUUAUCUCUUGACGUUUGAGAAGAUUUUUAUUUAGCUUUUUGUAAAAGAUACAGGAAAAAAAAUAUAAUUUCAUACGUCUGGUUAGAAACAUACAACUGUGAGUUCCAAGUGCGUACAGACCAUGAGGUCUUGCGUUCCACAGUCCCUUGUAACGACUCAGUUAGGAAUCAGUAGCCGGAAGUGUGUGUUACUUCCGGCGGGGUGCGUCACAAGUGUGCUCCAAGUUCCGUAGUAUGCGUUCCACGGCUGUACAAAGUUGUUUUUAUGAGGUUUUAUAAGAUAUAACAAUGAUUUACUCCUUUUUGAGAUUGUUAUAAGAUUUAUGUGCUACUAAAACAUUAUCCAUUGCUAGAGGUUAUAGAAAUUACUCAUCCAACUUAAAGACAAGCCACCCAUAUAUUGUUUUACAUAUUUUCUUAAAUGUCCACUAGUGGAAUAGAGUCAAGCAUAUGUUUAUUUUCUGAUUUUAAAUGUGACUUAUGAAUUAGAUUUAUUGUGUUAAUUGAUGCAUGACCUUUGACCAGGAAGCACUUUACCUCCAUACUAUAUAGCUCUGUUUAGGAAUCCCACUGUCACAUUGCCCUGACAAAGAGCAUUUGCUCGAUACGCGUUGGGCUGUGACAGGUGAAUUGAUGGUAGGAGUGGAUAAAGCGCGGAAUUUCGUAUUCAGUAACUUAGCGGAGGUCCAGCAAAUCCGGAACCUGUACUUCCAUUUAGAUCUACGUGCUCUUCUUUGAUUGCGAUCUGGUAACGCCUCCACUAUAUACCUUACUGAAUUUGUUUUUAUGUAACCAGUAUCUGUGUAAUAAAUUGUGUAAAUGUGAUUACACUAUGUGCGAUAUUAAUUUCCUUUUCCACAUGUUCAAGUGACCUUGAAAGUAUUGAAGUCAACACUCGGGACCUGUAUUCUACAUGCCUAGAUUAUAUAUCAGUCCGGUAAAGCCUCCAUUUUAUUAAAUGUAUGCUAUGGAUACACUUGAAAGUACCUACACUUUAUUAAAUUGCUAUACAAAUCC
Pseudophryne corroboree (corroboree frog) is the source of this 1588-nucleotide long non-coding RNA. RefSeq lists it as uncharacterized. The record is from RefSeq and is a predicted model, not a curated record. Lineage: Eukaryota; Metazoa; Chordata; Amphibia; Anura; Myobatrachidae. The transcript is spliced from 3 exons.